Non-coding RNA from Acanthosepion pharaonis, 99 nucleotides. NCBI's taxonomy places the organism in Eukaryota, Metazoa, Mollusca, Cephalopoda, Sepiida, Sepiidae. The record is from the annotation of a GenBank genome assembly.
GUUGAAACAUCAGUUCCUCUACGAUCACCGAAGUUAAACAACGCCGAGCCUGGUCAGUAACAGGAUGGGUGAUAGCUUGAGAAUAUCAGGUGCUGUAAG